This 428-nucleotide ribosomal RNA is filed under the name uncultured bacterium. RNAcentral's name for it is "bacterial SSU rRNA". It matches the Rfam family "Bacterial small subunit ribosomal RNA", at positions 355 to 775 of the family's 1533-position model. The record is from RNAcentral.
UAGGGAAUCUUCCGCAAUGGACGAAAGUCUGACGGAGCAACGCCGCGUGAGUGAAGAAGGUUUUCGGAUCGUAAAACUCUGUUGUCAGAGAAGAACAAGUCGGAGAGUAACUGCUCCGGCCUUGACGGUAUCUGACCAGAAAGCCACGGCUAACUACGUGCCAGCAGCCGCGGUAAUACGUAGGUGGCAAGCGUUGUCCGGAUUUAUUGGGCGUAAAGCGAGCGCAGGCGGUUCCUUAAGUCUGAUGUGAAAGCCCACGGCUCAACCGUGGAAGGUCAUUGGAAACUGGGGAACUUGAGUGCAGAAGAGGAGAGUGGAAUUCCAUGUGUAGCGGUGAAAUGCGUAGAUAUAUGGAGGAACACCAGUGGCGAAGGCGACUCUCUGGUCUGUAACUGACGCUGAGGCUCGAAAGCGUGGGGAGCAAACAG